AGUGAAUAGAUACCCCGGUAGUCCACGCCGUAAACGUUGGGCGCUAGGUGUGGGGAACCUUCCACGUUCUCCGUGCCGUAGCUAAACGCAUUAAAGCGCCCCGCCUGGGGAGUACGGCCGCAAGGCUAAAACUCAAAGGAAUUGACGGGGGCCCGCACAAGCGGCGGAGCAUGUUGCUUAAUUCGAUGCAACGCGAAGAACCUUACCUAGGCUUGACAUAUACCGAAAACUCAUAGAGAUAUGGGGUCCGCAAGGGCGGUAUACAGGUGGUGCAUGGUUGUCGUCAGCUCGUGUCGUGAGAUGUUGGGUUAAGUCCCGCAACGAGCGCAACCCUCGUCCUAUGUUGCCAGCGCGUUAUGGCGGGGACUCAUAGGAGACUGCCGGGGUCAACUCGGAGGAAGGUGGGGAUGACGUCAAAUCAUCAUGCCCCUUAUGUCUAGGGCUGCAAACAUGCUACAAUGGUCGGUACAAAGGGCUGCGAUACCGCAAGGUGGAGCGAAUCCCAAAAAGCCGGCCUCAGUUCGGAUUGGGGUCUGCAACUCGACCCC
This 548-nucleotide ribosomal RNA is filed under the name uncultured bacterium. RNAcentral's name for it is "bacterial SSU rRNA". It matches the Rfam family "Bacterial small subunit ribosomal RNA", at positions 773 to 1319 of the family's 1533-position model. The record is from RNAcentral.